Cryptomeria japonica (Japanese cedar) is the source of this 5239-nucleotide long non-coding RNA. RefSeq lists it as uncharacterized. The transcript is spliced from 7 exons. NCBI's taxonomy places the organism in Eukaryota, Viridiplantae, Streptophyta, Pinopsida, Cupressales, Cupressaceae. The record is from RefSeq and is a predicted model, not a curated record.
UAUAGAGUUACCAAAAUACAUUAAAAACCAUCACGCGUUUGGUGUGAGCAGACAUGCAGAAAUGAUGUAACGUAUAACCUUCAUUGAAUAUUAUAAAAGGAAAGGAAUAAUAGGCUUCUCCAAAAGAUGUAACGUAUAUUAAAGGAAUGGAAUGAUGGUUUUCUUGUCAAAUCACAAAUAUUACGCUUAAAAUUAUCCCUGUCAGGAGAUUUGCGAGUACAAAGAAAUCUCAAAUUUAUAUGUCGCCGUUUGAGUUGCAUUCAGUGGAUAAUUUUAAGCGUAAUAUGUGCGACACACGCCCUUUGUUGCAAGUUGCAUUCAGAAAACCUUUUGUUGCAAGUUGUAACUGUAUUCAUCGAUUGCAUGGUUCCUGCUCGAGGACGUUGUAAUAGACAGGCGGAUGAAGAACAUUCUCACAAAAAGCACAAACUGAAACCUAAAGAGUGAUCCAGAGUAGGAGAGGGGUCGUUUGCAGACAAACUUUCAAUGAAUAGUGCAGAAAGCUUCACGGAGGCAUUAGGAAGUUUAUUUGGUUGCAAUGGAAGCACUAGAGGAGGUAUCUGCUAUGGAGAUGAUUGUCAAUCUAAGGUGUGUAUCAACUAAAAUAUGUACCAGUCUUUGAAUUUUUUAUAUUGCUUGCUUUAUGACUCUUUUAUGGGCCUUAAGUCAUACCCCAUUGCAGUAGAAACCUAUAUAAUUAACAAGGAAAUAAUUUGUCUAAAGGAGGUGGAUGGAAUCAAUGCAUUCAGAAAAUUAUGCAUUCAAUUAUCUAUACUUAAGGGUAGAGCAUUUACGGGUGGACGGAUUUCUUUGUAGUUCCGCCGAAUAAAACAAAGAACAUAAAUAGCCGAAUAAAGAGACUUUAAUUUUUUUUGUUUUACAGGUGUAAGGAAUGUUUUCAGUCCUUUCAGUAAUCACUAAAUUGUUUUUCAGCAAUUCUGGCAAUUGCAAAACUGUUGGACGGUGAAUUAUGCAUGUUUUCAGGCGUGAGACAGGUUUGACACAAAAUGUGGACAGACAUGUUCACAUUAAACAAAACCUAUAGGUUAAUAAUAGUUUUAUUAUUCACAGCAGUAAUAUCUCUGUAGUCAGGUUAAAAGAAAAUAAAAUAACAAAUGUUAAUCACCCUAGGAUAUUAAAUUAAAAAAUUGAUAUGGUUCCAUAGGAACUUUAUUUUUAAAGUGUGAGGAGCUCCCUGAAUAGUAUAGAAGACGUGGAUUUCUUCAUUUACAUUUCUAGAUGGCCAGAUUUGUGUAACCACAGUUUUCUAUCAAAUAAAUUGGAUACCUUCUAAGAGAAUUCCAUAUUUAAAUACUAAGACACUGUUUCCUUUUUGUUGACUUUAUCUCAUGUGGAAAAUAUAUCUGUAGAUUGUAGUGAUAAUUUGUGCACUUAAUGUCUAUUUCCUGAAAAAUGUUUGUGAAGAGAUUGCUGAAACCUUUCUGAAUACAAUGCGGAGAACUUGCUGAACUCUGUUUCUCAGGAAAACCUAAAGAUACCAAGGCUUCUCUAGAAAAUUUUAUUAAUCUGCACCAAGAAGUAUCUCAGUUUGUUGUCAAUAUGGAUGCAUGGAAUAAACCCAUAGCUCCCCAUGGAGGUGGGACUUCAGAUAUCAAAGGAAAUAAUAUAAUUGAGUAAUCAGAGUGGAUCCACAACUACAUUAACUGAAAUAUUUUUAUUAAAUGAUCUUAAAAAAGUCCUCUAUUAAAUCUAAUUUAAAACAUGAUUUAGCUGCUGAAGAAUCACCAUCAAGGAGACUUAAAAUGAUUCUCAAGAUCAAAAAAAAAUCAAAAGGAUGCCUCUUUUCUAGGGGCUCAGUCUCUUAUUCUGGUACAAGGAAAUUGGGUAAGUCCAUGUUCUUCACUCCUAGUGGGAUGACCUGUAUGGUCACAUCAAUAGGAGGUCAAGGUAACAAUGACAACCAAAUAAUCAAAAGGUGUGCUAAUGUGAAUUUGCAUUUGAACACAUUGUGGUCAACAAAGUUGUCAAAUCAAAACCUCAACAACAAACAUCCAAUAACAUCAAUAUUGCAGCUUACUAAUGCACCUGAAUUGAGGAGAAUAGAAAUGUUAAACAUACAAUUUUAUGAUAUAAAUAUAAGAAUGUAAUAGGUAUUGAGAUACAUUUUCUUAAACCAUAUGUCAGCAACAUUAUCAAAUCCUUGUCUGAAAAUAAAUGGCAUUAGUAAUUGCAUUAAUUUCAUGUUUGCGAUAUGCAGUUUUUGAAGCCCACGUUUACUAUUCUAGCUGAUGAUAAAUCAAAUUCUUAUCUUCUAUUGAUUGGAGAGACUCAGCGUUAAAGAUACAUUGACAACAGUUACUGGAACUAUUGUACUAUUUCACCACACUGUUCUCGGUGAAGGCACAAAAUCCUUUUUUUUUUUUUUGUCCUAACAAGUUAUUUAUAUUUUAAUAGAGUUUUUAUUUUACAAUGAUGAUACUUGUUAACAAAACACUUAAUUUUCAACAUUCUUAGGGAGUUUGGAGAGGAGAUUUAUGCUGCUGCAUGCAUAGUAGAAAGGUUUCAGACAGAAGGGUAUGCAUAUGUAGCUCAGUUUGAUGAUGGUCCUUUGAGUGUAGAAUUGAUAUCAAAAAAAAUUGUAAGGCCUUUCCUUUUCUUCAUGUCUCGACCCCUAAAACUGUGUCAUCUGGUACAAGGAAGAGAUGAUGAUUAUUGAAUGGUCAAAUGCUUCAGAAUACUUUUACAAAGUGUAAGGAAUGUUUUCAGCCAUUUCAGUAAUCACUAAAUUGCUUUUCAGCAAUUCUAGCAAUUGCAAAACUGUUGGAUGGUAAAUUAUGCAUGUUUUCAGGCGUGAGGCAGGUUUGACACUAAAGAGUAAGUAACAGGAAAAAAAACAUUUUCACUCUUUUCUUGAAAUUUUAAUAAUAAAACUUAUGAUUUCUGGUUUUUUUUUCCCCUGAUUAAGGUUACGUUCUUUUUAGUUUUGUUGAUGCGAUAGAUCCGCAUAGUAUUGUCAAUGAUGCUGGUGAUACCGAUCUGCAAAAUAUCAUCAAUGAUGCGGUGAAAUCACUGAUGCCGGUGAAGCUGACCCACAAAAUAUCAUCAGUGAUGCCGCUGAAACUGAUCUGCCAAAUAUCGCCAAUGUUGUCGGUGAAACUGCGUUGUUCAAAGCUGUUGAGGAAGGUCAUGAGAAAAUCGUUGCAGAACUUUUGCCUUUAACACUUCUACAGCACUACUGGAGGACAGAUGGCCAAACGCUUGUGCACUGUGCGGUGCAAAGAAGUGCUUAAGAAGCUCAUCGCUGCUAAGCCGGACCUUCUUAAACAAGCUGACUAUUUACGCAGAACACCGUACCCCUAGAUUAUGCUGCCUGUCUUAAAGGAAUAUCACAUAUUGCAAAAAUUAUUUUAGAGAAAGACGUCUUCCUGUUAUACAGUGGACAGCAAUCACCAAUCAGCGCUUCAUAUAGCGGUCAAACAAGGCAACAUGAUUUAGUGAGAGAGAGAUUAAAAUAUGCCAAAGACUGCAUAGUAAUUGGAGGCAACAAGGGAAGAAAUGGUUUUCACCUGGUGAUUGAAAAUGCAGUACAAAUUUUUGACAAAAUUGGGAGACGCAUAAAAACCUUAUGUUCUUGGUGAUAUCAAAGAGGCUGAUCAAUGAAGCUGACAACCGAGGCAAGACGCCAUUGGACAUAGCGCUGGACAUUAUGGACACAGACGAACGCCUUUUCGAAGGAAUUAUAUGGUUGCUAGAAAUAAAUGGUGCGUGGAGGACUCCAAAAGAGAUGCGACACAAGUAAUGACUCAUUGAUGGCUUGAAAAAUCAACGUGGAAAGCCCAAAUUAUUUCAGUAAAUGCAAGGUUGAUUGGAGCGACAACUUUUCAUGUAGAUUUCAAUCUCCCAAAGGAACACAGAAUAUUAUGUUGUUUUCGUGCAAUUUACAAUUAUUCGUGAUGCAUUAACAUUAUGUAGCUUUUUAAUAUCUUUGUUGCUAGCAUUUGGAGGGGGAUUUUUUGUGGUGGUGGCACCAGACCUUACAGUUGCAGCAACCAUUGUUUUGAAUAUGGUGAUAAUUGUUCCAAUCUGGAUAAGAGUAAUGAUUCUAUGUUCCAGGAAAUACAUCUUGAAGAGAAGAUGAAAAUUACCUUUAGACUUUCGUAAUACUUGUUGUCGUUGAGAUCACAUUUUUCUUUUAUUGGACGAUAUUACAUUUUUGAUAGUUUUGAUAGUGGUGAUAGUGCGGCUUGGAUUUUUCAUUAGGCGGAGGAGAUACUUGCGAUGGACAUUACAUAUGUAUGGUCUUGUGUAUAUGUAAUGCCCAUCAUCUCUCGAGGUUUUUUUUGAAUGCAAGUAUUUAUUCCGCCCAAUGAGGAAUCCAAGCUGCACUAUCACCACUAUUAGAACUAUAAAAAAUGUAGUAGUCGUCCAAUAAAAGAAAACUGUGAUUUCAACGAUAAGUAUUACGAAAGUCCAAAGGUAGUUUUCGUCUUCUCUGAAGAUGUUUUUCUUGGAACAAAGAAUCAUUAUUUUUAUCCAGAUUGGAACAAUUAUCACCAUAUUCAAAACAAUGGUUGCUGCAACUGUAUGGUCUGGUGCCAUCGCCACACAGAUGCCUCCAAAUGCUAGCAGCAAAGAUAUUAAAACUCUCCAUAAUGCAGUGAGAGAGGCAUCAAAGAGAAGGGGGCUUUUUUGUUUACCAUAAAGUGCAUACAUUAGCAAAUCACUUUGUUUCCAUGCUUAAGUAACAUUUUUAAUUACUAUAGAAGAGCCAUAAUAUGGGUAAUAGUGGGUUUAGUUGCAUAUAUAAGUCGAAGAAUAUAUUUUCGAUGGAAACAAAGGUCCUUGAUAGAUGACCAUUAUAUGGGUCUUGACAUUAAUUAUUGGUGUAAUUAUGUAUAAUAUUCCUUUUGUCCUGAUAGUGGCUUAAGGGCUAUAGUUCAAAUGUGUAGGGAUCUGUAUAUUGAAAAUGUAAAGGGGGUCUGUCUCUUGAAAUUGUAAAGGGGAUCUUUCUAUGCAAUUGGAAAGGGAUUCUAUUUAUUGAAAUUGUAAAAGGGGUCUAUCUAUUGUAAAUGUAAUGGGAUCUAGUGAGUCAGUUAGGGGUGUUUUGUAAGAACUUUUGUACUUCAUUGAGCUAUCUUGGUUCUUUCUUGUUGGUAUGCUUGUCGGAAUUAGGUUUUUGUUUUAUCUACUAUUAAAUAUAUAAAAUUAUAGUGGCUUGCCACUUUUGCUAAAAAAUAAUUGUACUUUCAAAUGAAUUAAAAGGUUUAUUUUUUACUUA